CCGGCCUCGGCCAGCCCAGAAAAGGGCUCCCGCAGUGCAGCGGCGGGCUGAAGGGCUGCUGAAGCGCGGCAAGAGUGGGCGCCUAGGCCAAGGAGGCGCGGAGAGCGAGCGAGGCCUGUGAGUGCUGCCAGCACGCCGUCACCUCUCAAUAUGACUUAGGGAUCAUGGCUUAUUUGAGCUGUUGCUCCUCAGUGGACAUCAUAGGAUCUUGCAGAUGUGUAUCAAUCCUUCGCAAGUAGGGAGAGCUCCCUUGGUUACGACAGUCUUAAAGAUCUCCUGUUACAUAAAUUUGACAGUAAGUUAUCAACAUUACAACUAAGAAGCCUAACCAUUUGGAAUUUAAAACUCCUGUAUCAGUCUGCCCUGGAGUCAUUCUGGGAUGAGUCAAGUGGUCAGACACUGUCUCACUGGAUGAGAAACAUGAUCAUGUCUGAGUACCAGGAAUAACAAUUCUAAAAAUGGACAGAUCUAAUUCAUUCAAUAUUUCAGUGAUGGCCAAGUGACGCAUGCUGGGAGGGCUCAACCUCUACGCCUGGAAACUUGGCUCUUUGGGAAGAUGUGGCAAUGCAAAUUUGUUGAAGAUGAAGGAUAUAUCACUCUUCUGGAAUGAAUGGAAUGAAUGGAAUGUCUA
Molecule: long non-coding RNA, 631 nt
Filed under: Homo sapiens (human)
Lineage: Eukaryota; Metazoa; Chordata; Mammalia; Primates; Hominidae
Description: HSALNT0318891
Source: RNAcentral